Molecule: long non-coding RNA, 509 nt
Organism: Salvelinus fontinalis (brook trout)
Lineage: Eukaryota; Metazoa; Chordata; Actinopteri; Salmoniformes; Salmonidae
Exons: 2
Source: RefSeq, a predicted model, not a curated record
CUGUUCUUUUGGCUGAAACCGUUAUUCCCUUGGAUUCUUCUCAGGAUAGGUCUACGAAUGAGGAGGAAGAUGUUCCUGGUCCCGACGAUUGCAUACUGCAGGGUAGAUUGAAAAACUCAGAGACACUGGAUAUUUUGGGCAGCAUUCUCACUCAUCUACCCGUUGAUAGGCGGGAAGAGAUGGUUGGUCUGAUUCAGAGAUUUCCAGGAUGCCGGUGGGCGGAGUUGGGAGGGUCGUCAGCUACAUGGAAAACACCUGGGCCCACUCUCCCAGAAUAAAAUCACCACUUCCCCAUUCAACCGGGAGACUCUCUCCUUGUAGACACCUUGUUAGAUUCGGUUAUGUUUCAUGGUGUUUUUGUUUGUUUGUUUUAGCAUCUUUCAACACCGUGCACUAUCACCUUCAUGCAUGCAAAACAUUCAAUUACACUACUGAUUACUGAUUACACACCCCAUGGUAUAUUAUACCUAGUUUCGUUAGUUAAAUAAAUAUAUUUUGGUUACUCCUUA